RNAcentral lists this ribosomal RNA (218 nucleotides) under uncultured bacterium. Its description in RNAcentral is "partial 16S ribosomal RNA". It matches the Rfam family "Bacterial small subunit ribosomal RNA", at positions 328 to 539 of the family's 1533-position model. The record is from RNAcentral.
ACGCUCGACACCUACGCGAGGCAGCAGUGAGGAAUAUUGGUCAAUGGGCGCAGGCCUGAACCAGCCAAGUAGCGUGAAGGAUGACUGCCCUAUGGGUUGUAAACUUCUUUUAUAUGGGAAUAAAGUUUUCCACGUGUGGAAUUUUGUAUGUACCAUAUGAAUAAGGAUCGGCUAACUCCGUGCUAGCAGCCGCGGUAAUCUGAGCGGGCUGGCAAGGC